Molecule: long non-coding RNA, 401 nt
Organism: Podarcis raffonei (Aeolian wall lizard)
Lineage: Eukaryota; Metazoa; Chordata; Lepidosauria; Squamata; Lacertidae
Exons: 2
Source: RefSeq, a predicted model, not a curated record
GCUGGAAAGAGCAGAAGAGUUCCACUCCAUCUUCUCCGAAGAUGAUGCAUCUCCGAAGGGAGACGAUUCGACAACCAGGAGCUGGGGAAGGAGCCCCUUUUCUUUCUGCAGCAAAAGUUGUUUUGUGAAAUAUUGUCUGCAGGGUGACAGCACAGGAUCUCUGAGUGCCAUCCAAGAGUGAAAUACGACUGGAGAACCUGGGAAAUGUGGAUUCUACAGCCAUCCAUCCUGCCCCCUUGAGAUUGCAGAGGAACAGCUCAGUCUAACCACUGCAAGCCACUCAGUCCACCCAGCCACUUUCUUUGAUGCUCUGUCAGGUUAAUGCAGGCUGCAAAAGGCAGCACUGGUUUGAAUUAAUGGGAAUAAUAAAGGUUGGGGCAGGCUAUGUGCACUGGAAUUCU